RNAcentral lists this unclassified non-coding RNA (376 nucleotides) under soil metagenome. Its description in RNAcentral is "partial contains 5.8S ribosomal RNA, internal transcribed spacer 2, and large subunit ribosomal RNA". The stretch from base 1 to 120 matches the Rfam family "5.8S ribosomal RNA", at positions 35 to 154 of the family's 154-position model. The record is from RNAcentral.
GAUGAAGAACGCAGCGAAAUGCGAUAAGUAAUGUGAAUUGCAGAAUUCAGUGAAUCAUCGAAUCUUUGAACGCAUCUUGCGCUCCUUGGUAUUCUGAGGAGCAUGCCUGUUUGAGUGUCAUUAAAUUCUCAACUACACUGACUUUGAAUUGGUGUGGCUUGGAGUUGGGGGGAAAAUUGUUGUGGGCUUUUUGUAUAGUCUGCUCCCCUGAAAUUGAUUAGCGGUACCUUUGUGGAACUGUCUACAGGUGUGAUAAUUAUCUACAUCUUAGACAUCUGCUGGAAUGCUGCUUUCUAAACCUUACUUGUAUUGACAAUCUUGACCUCAAAUCAGGUAGGACUACCCGCUGAACUUAAGCAUAUCAAUAAGCGGAGGA